This 244-nucleotide unclassified non-coding RNA is filed under the name uncultured Sordariales. RNAcentral describes it as "sequence contains ITS2". The stretch from base 1 to 52 matches the Rfam family "5.8S ribosomal RNA", at positions 103 to 154 of the family's 154-position model. The record is from RNAcentral. Lineage: Eukaryota; Fungi; Ascomycota; Sordariomycetes; Sordariales.
AACGCACAUUGCGCCCGCCAGUAUUCUGGCGGGCAUGCCUGUUCGAGCGUCAUUUCAACCAUCAAGCCCCAGGCUUGUGUUGGGGGCCUGCAGCUGCUGCAGCCCUUUAAAACCAGUGGCGGGCUCGAAGUCGAACCGAGUGCAGUAAAUUUCUUCGCUUGGGAAGGUGACGAGUUCCGGCCGUAAAAAGCCCAACUUUAUCAAGGUUGACCUCGGAUCAGGUAGGACUACCCGCUGAACUUAA